CUGAGCCCCACACAGCCCUCACAGCCCCGAACUCCCGAGCUUCCAUCAUGCGUCCAGCCCGGCUCCUUCGCUCUGCUCAGGGACUCUCCCAGGAUACAACAACGGAGCAAAGUGAAAGGGGUCACUGUGACCAGGGCUCACUACCUUUUGGAAAAAGCAGCAUGAUUGUCCAGCUGAUCCAUGGGUUAAUUUGAGAAAGACAUUCCUCAGAGUCCAAGAACCUUCUCCAGACCUUCCUCAGCUAAGAAGGAAUCAGAAGACAGAGCUGGCUCUGUGCUGUGUUUCAGCAGGCAUGCCUACAAACAAGCACCUCCUCUCCCUGCUCCAUACUGUGUGGAUCACUGCUAACUGGCAGAUUGGAUUGAAGAGAAUUCUUCCAGAUGCUGCUAGUUAGUGUCACAAGUGACACUUCACUAGUGUCAGUGAUGUUUUUGUGAAGCAGCUUCCAAAUCGCGAACUUCUUCCAUGAUACAUGUUGAGCUGAUGACAGACAUUUUGAACUUUGUUUUUUGGGGUGAGGUUUGUGGCAGAGGCAGGUGGUUUCUGUCUGGGAAAUCUAUUCAUGCACUAGGAGCACUUAGAAAAUGCAAGCCCUUCUGCAGCUAUGCCUGGCCCACUGGCUAACACUGCUGGCUGUGGCAGGGCACCAUGAAUCUCAGGGUUUUAAAGCCACAUUUCCAUUUCACAGUCCUUGGGAUUUCAUCUUUGAAUUCUACCAGGAAAUCCAUACACUGAUCUCACUUUUGGCACUGUUAAACUCUGAGCCAUUUACUUGGCCAAAGUAGGAGUGACAAAAGGACAGUAAAAGAAGCUGUUAAUAUAAGCAGUAUUUUAGCUAUUUAAAUUUAAUAAAGGAUGUCAAACAAAACAACAUCUUAGUGCAAAGUUUUGCUUCUGUAACAGAUUAGGAAAAUGUAGGUUUUAAUGAUGUUGACCAAGCACAGUUCUUAGGACUUGUUCCAUUGCUCCCUGAAGAUACUGGAAAGACUCUCACUGACUUUAAUAAGAUCAGUCCCAGAAUGAUGAAGGAAGCAUUUUGUGAGGAUUAAUUCUUUUACUUCUAGAACUUUCCCCUCAGUAAGGAUUCCCUCUGAACACAGAGUUAAUGGACCAUUUUCUUCCUUCUAUAGCUUUAAAAAAGAUAACUUAAGAAAAGAUUAAUUUGGGAAUACUUGUGGAGUUACCUGAAAUUCUAACAAAUCAAUGAAGAACUUCAUUCUGUAUUAUCUCCUGUUCC
Long non-coding RNA from Passer domesticus (house sparrow), 1237 nucleotides. RefSeq lists it as uncharacterized. Lineage: Eukaryota; Metazoa; Chordata; Aves; Passeriformes; Passeridae. The record is from RefSeq and is a predicted model, not a curated record. The transcript is spliced from 3 exons.